Molecule: long non-coding RNA, 815 nt
Filed under: Salmo salar (Atlantic salmon)
Lineage: Eukaryota; Metazoa; Chordata; Actinopteri; Salmoniformes; Salmonidae
Description: lncRNA (ENSSSAG00000099968.1)
Source: RNAcentral
CUAACCAAGGUGUUAACAUCAACCAGACCUUAGAGGAUCUCCUAACCAAGGUGUUAACAUCAACCAGACCUUAGAGGAGCUCCUAACUAAGGUGUUAACAUCAACCAGACCUUAGAGAAGCUCCUAACCAAGGUGUUAACAUCAACCAGACCUUAGAGGAUCUCCUAACUAAGGUGUUAACAUCAACCAGACCUUAGAGAAGCUCCUAACCAAGGUGUUAACAUCAACCAGACCUUAGAGAAGCUCCUAACCAAGGUGUUAACAUCAACCAGACCUUAGAGAAGCUCCUAACCAAGGUGUUAACAUCAACCAGACCUUAGAGGAGCUCCUAACCAAGGAGAGGACAGAGCAGGACAGCAGCCUUGCAACACAGCUGAAAGAGGUUCAGCAAGAGAGAGACGGAUUCAAGAGAGAGCUGGCUGAUCUAAUAAAGGAGGUGAGAGAGCUGGCUGAUCUAACAAAGGAGGUGAGAGAGCUGGCUGAUCUAACAAAGGAGGUGAGAGAGCUGGCUGAUCUAACAAAGGAGGUGAGAGAGCUGGCUGAUCUAACAAAGGAGGUGAGAGAGCUGGCUGAUCUAACAAAGGAGGUGAGAGAGCUGGCUGAUCUAACAAAGGAGGUGAGAGAGCUGGCUGAUCUAACAAAGGAGGUGAGAGAGCUGGCUGAUCUAACAAAGGAGGUGAGAGAGCUCCAAAAAGACAGGCAGUGCAGUAAUAACGACCUGACCUCACUAAGAGAGGAGCUGCAGGAGAGAAAGAGAACAGAGGACAGGCAGCAGGAACAGCAAGAUCACCACUCGAUAACCUGCCCUCACACAG